CGCUCGACACCUACGGGGGCAGCAGUGGGGAAUAUUGGGCAAUGGGCGCAAGCCUGACCCAGCAACGCCGCGUGAAGGAAGAAGGCCCUCGGGUUGUAAACUUCUUUUAACAGGGACGAAGCAAGUGACGGUACCUGUUGAAUAAGCCACGGCUAACUACGUGUCAGCAGCCGCGGUAAUCUGAGCGGGCUGGCAAGGC
This 199-nucleotide ribosomal RNA is filed under the name uncultured bacterium. RNAcentral describes it as "partial 16S ribosomal RNA". It matches the Rfam family "Bacterial small subunit ribosomal RNA", at positions 329 to 539 of the family's 1533-position model. The record is from RNAcentral.